UUAAGCGACUAAGCGUACACGGUGGAUGCCCUGGCAGUCAGAGGCGAUGAAGGACGUGCUAAUCUGCGAUAAGCGUCGGUGAGGUGAUAUGAACCGUUAUAACCGGCGAUUUCCGAAUGGGGAAACCCAGUGUGUUUCGACACACUAUCAUUAACUGAAUCCAUAGGUUAAUGAGGCGAACCGGGGGAACUGAAACAUCUAAGUACCCCGAGGAAAAGAAAUCAACCGAGAUUCCCCCAGUAGCGGCGAGCGAACGGGGAGGAGCCCAGAGCCUGAAUCAGUGUGUGUGUUAGUGGAAGCGUCUGGAAAGGCGCGCGAUACAGGGUGACAGCCCCGUACACAAAAAUGCACAUAUUGUGAGCUCGAUGAGUAGGGCGGGACACGUGGUAUCCUGUCUGAAUAUGGGGGGACCAUCCUCCAAGGCUAAAUACUCCUGACUGACCGAUAGUGAACCAGUACCGUGAGGGAAAGGCGAAAAGAACCCCGGCGAGGGGAGUGAAAAAGAACCUGAAACCGUGUACGUACAAGCAGUGGGAGCCUCUUUAUGGGGUGACUGCGUACCUUUUGUAUAAUGGGUCAGCGACUUAUAUUCUGUAGCAAGGUUAACCGAAUAGGGGAGCCGAAGGGAAACCGAGUCUUAACUGGGCGUUAAGUUGCAGGGUAUAGACCCGAAACCCGGUGAUCUAGCCAUGGGCAGGUUGAAGGUUGGGUAACACUAACUGGAGGACCGAACCGACUAAUGUUGAAAAAUUAGCGGAUGACUUGUGGCUGGGGGUGAAAGGCCAAUCAAACCGGGAGAUAGCUGGUUCUCCCCGAAAGCUAUUUAGGUAGCGCCUCGUGAAUUCAUCUCCGGGGGUAGAGCACUGUUUCGGCAAGGGGGUCAUCCCGACUUACCAACCCGAUGCAAACUGCGAAUACCGGAGAAUGUUAUCACGGGAGACACACGGCGGGUGCUAACGUCCGUCGUGAAGAGGGAAACAACCCAGACCGCCAGCUAAGGUCCCAAAGUCAUGGUUAAGUGGGAAACGAUGUGGGAAGGCCCAGACAGCCAGGAUGUUGGCUUAGAAGCAGCCAUCAUUUAAAGAAAGCGUAAUAGCUCACUGGUCGAGUCGGCCUGCGCGGAAGAUGUAACGGGGCUAAACCAUGCACCGAAGCUGCGGCAGCGACACUAUGUGUUGUUGGGUAGGGGAGCGUUCUGUAAGCCUGUGAAGGUGGCCUGUGAGGGUUGCUGGAGGUAUCAGAAGUGCGAAUGCUGACAUAAGUAACGAUAAAGCGGGUGAAAAGCCCGCUCGCCGGAAGACCAAGGGUUCCUGUCCAACGUUAAUCGGGGCAGGGUGAGUCGACCCCUAAGGCGAGGCCGAAAGGCGUAGUCGAUGGGAAACAGGUUAAUAUUCCUGUACUUGGUGUUACUGCGAAGGGGGGACGGAGAAGGCUAUGUUGGCCGGGCGACGGUUGUCCCGGUUUAAGCGUGUAGGCUGGUUUUCCAGGCAAAUCCGGAAAACCAAGGCUGAGGCGUGAUGACGAGGCACUACGGUGCUGAAGCGACAAAUGCCCUGCUUCCAGGAAAAGCCUCUAAGCAUCAGGUAACAUCAAAUCGUACCCCAAACCGACACAGGUGGUCAGGUAGAGAAUACCAAGGCGCUUGAGAGAACUCGGGUGAAGGAACUAGGCAAAAUGGUGCCGUAACUUCGGGAGAAGGCACGCUGAUAUGUAGGUGAAGCGACUUGCUCGUGGAGCUGAAAUCAGUCGAAGAUACCAGCUGGCUGCAACUGUUUAUUAAAAACACAGCACUGUGCAAACACGAAAGUGGACGUAUACGGUGUGACGCCUGCCCGGUGCCGGAAGGUUAAUUGAUGGGGUUAGCGGUAACGCGAAGCUCUUGAUCGAAGCCCCGGUAAACGGCGGCCGUAACUAUAACGGUCCUAAGGUAGCGAAAUUCCUUGUCGGGUAAGUUCCGACCUGCACGAAUGGCGUAAUGAUGGCCAGGCUGUCUCCACCCGAGACUCAGUGAAAUUGAACUCGCUGUGAAGAUGCAGUGUACCCGCGGCAAGACGGAAAGACCCCGUGAACCUUUACUAUAGCUUGACACUGAACAUUGAGCCUUGAUGUGUAGGAUAGGUGGGAGGCUUUGAAGUGUGGACGCCAGUCUGCAUGGAGCCGACCUUGAAAUACCACCCUUUAAUGUUUGAUGUUCUAACGUUGGCCCGUAAUCCGGGUUGCGGACAGUGUCUGGUGGGUAGUUUGACUGGGGCGGUCUCCUCCUAAAGAGUAACGGAGGAGCACGAAGGUUGGCUAAUCCUGGUCGGACAUCAGGAGGUUAGUGCAAUGGCAUAAGCCAGCUUGACUGCGAGCGUGACGGCGCGAGCAGGUGCGAAAGCAGGUCAUAGUGAUCCGGUGGUUCUGAAUGGAAGGGCCAUCGCUCAACGGAUAAAAGGUACUCCGGGGAUAACAGGCUGAUACCGCCCAAGAGUUCAUAUCGACGGCGGUGUUUGGCACCUCGAUGUCGGCUCAUCACAUCCUGGGGCUGAAGUAGGUCCCAAGGGUAUGGCUGUUCGCCAUUUAAAGUGGUACGCGAGCUGGGUUUAGAACGUCGUGAGACAGUUCGGUCCCUAUCUGCCGUGGGCGCUGGAGAACUGAGGGGGGCUGCUCCUAGUACGAGAGGACCGGAGUGGACGCAUCACUGGUGUUCGGGUUGUCAUGCCAAUGGCACUGCCCGGUAGCUAAAUGCGGAAGAGAUAAGUGCUGAAAGCAUCUAAGCACGAAACUUGCCCCGAGAUGAGUUCUCCCUGAGUCCUAGAGUGUCCUGAAGGAACGUUGAAGACGACGACGUUGAUAGGCCGGGUGUGUAAGCGCAGCGAUGCGUUGAGCUAACCGGUACUAAUGAACCGUGAGGCUUAACCUU
This 2902-nucleotide ribosomal RNA is filed under the name Escherichia coli UMEA 3298-1. RNAcentral describes it as "bacterial LSU rRNA". It matches the Rfam family "Bacterial large subunit ribosomal RNA". The record is from RNAcentral. Lineage: Bacteria; Pseudomonadati; Pseudomonadota; Gammaproteobacteria; Enterobacterales; Enterobacteriaceae.